GACGAACGCUGGCGGCGUGCCUAAUACAUGCAAGUCGAGCGGAACUGGGGGAGCUUGCUCCUUCCAGUUUAGCGGCGGACGGGUGAGUAACACGUGGGCAACCUGCCCUGCAGAUCGGGAUAACUCCGGGAAGCCGGUGCUAAUACCGAAUAGUUUGGCGCCUCUCCUGAGGCGCUACGGAAAGACGGUUUCGGCUGGCACUGCAGGAUGGGGCCGCGGCGCAUUAGCUAGUUGGUGGGGUAACGGCCCACCAAGGCGACGAUGCGUAGCCGACCUGAGAGGGUGACCGGCCACACUGGGACUGAGACACGGCCCAGACUCCUACGGGAGGCAGCAGUAGGGAAUCUUCCGCAAUGGACGCAAGUCUGACGGAGCAACGCCGCGUGAGUGACGAAGGUUUUCGGAUCGUAAAACUCUGUUGUGAGGGAAGAACACGUACCAACUAACUAUUGGUACCUUGACGGUACCUCACCAGAAAGCCACGGCUAACUACGUGCCAGCCGCCGCAGUAA
This 512-nucleotide ribosomal RNA is filed under the name uncultured bacterium. RNAcentral's name for it is "partial 16S ribosomal RNA". It matches the Rfam family "Bacterial small subunit ribosomal RNA", at positions 28 to 523 of the family's 1533-position model. The record is from RNAcentral.